AAGCUUUGAAAUCUCCACUCCAGGACCAACUUUCUUCUUCUGGCUCAAUCCUAGUGAUUCUGACACAUUUUAGAAACAUUAGUUCUAGAUUUGGCCUGACUUUUGUUUUACAACAGUCGAGAGUCUAAUUUGGACUUUUCUCUUUCCCUCAAACUUAGUGACUUCCCUACUCACCACAACAUGCUAGUUCCUAUGGGAUAUAUGUCAUCAUCAGUAUGGUAGUGACAUCAGUAAUACAUUACUUUCAAAUCCCUGGUGUGUGACAUCAUUCAGCUAUGGUCUAUAUAAAACAUUGUUCCUAUGAAACUGACAUAAUUUCACUUAACAUGGCCAUUUUAUGGAACCAAUUAACAACAUUUAUAUGAGUAUAUGUCUGUAUAUGAGUAAGUGUGUCAGUUAUCCUAAUAACUAAACUUGUCAAAUUCAAUUAGUUUGGAAUAGAAAAAAGUUAUUAGCCUGAUAUGAAAAUUUAUAUGAUUAAAUAAAGAACAGAUGAAUGAAAAUUUCUUCUGUAAAAUAAUACCUUAUAUAUAGAAUGAUUGCUUAUUUUCAAAGGGAUUUUGCAAUAAUUUUUUCUCUUGAUUUGUAAAAGUUCUACUUUAUAGCUUAAUAGAAUGGAGUUGAACCUGAAUUCUCAAGUACUAUGCUAGUGAAGACCCUAGCAACUGAUGGUGAGGAGUCCAGAAAAUCCUUGUAUGAAAGCUUCAGCUAAAGUUUGACGGAAUUUAGAGAUCAUAAGAAGCAAAGAUAAGGGAGCAAGUAAAUGUAAUGUCAAAUAGGAAACAAUCAUUUUUUAUGAAUAAAGGAGAAAUGAAGACAGAGUGGAAACAAUCAGCAUACACAAAUGUCUUAGAGAGAAAAUUUUAUUUUUCUUGUUAAAAAUCAUACUAUAACAUGAAUAUGCCUUUGUUGGUUUAGAAAAUAUCUACAAGAGUUACAUUUGAAAUUUGUUUCAUUUUAGUUAUUUUCUAGAUUAUUAUCUUUGAAGCUACAAUCAUUUAAUUCAGUAAAUUGGCAAACCAAUUUGUUCACAGAUUCUUGAGUUAAAAUGAAUUGAUUUGAACCAUAAAUCAUGGACUAAAAGUCUAAGAGGUAUGGAAUGGUUUUAAGAUAAACUAGGAUUGGGGAAAUAGUGGAGAAAAAUAAAGGAAAAGUAGAGCGAAGUAAGUCUAAUCUG
This 1177-nucleotide long non-coding RNA is filed under the name Monodelphis domestica (gray short-tailed opossum). Its description in RNAcentral is "lncRNA (ENSMODG00000043853.1)". Lineage: Eukaryota; Metazoa; Chordata; Mammalia; Didelphimorphia; Didelphidae. The record is from RNAcentral.